Molecule: ribosomal RNA, 434 nt
Filed under: uncultured Lachnospiraceae bacterium
Lineage: Bacteria; Bacillati; Bacillota; Clostridia; Lachnospirales; Lachnospiraceae
Description: partial 16S ribosomal RNA
Rfam family: Bacterial small subunit ribosomal RNA
Source: RNAcentral
ACGGGAGGCAGCAGUGGGGGAUAUUGCACAAUGGGGGAAACCCUGAUGCAGCGACGCCGCGUGAGUGAUGAAGUAUUUCGGUAUGUAAAGCUCUAUCAGCAGGGAAGAAAAUGACGGUACCUGACUAAGAAGCUCCGGCUAAAUACGUGCCAGCAGCCGCGGUAAUACGUAGGGGGCAAGCGUUAUCCGGAUUUACUGGGUGUAAAGGGAGCGUAGACGGUAUGGCAAGUCUGAAGUGAAAUGCCCGGGCUCAACCCGAGAACUGCUUUGGAAACUGUCAAACUAGAGUGCAGGAGAGGUAAGUGGAAUUCCUAGUGUAGCGGUGAAAUGCGUAGAUAUUAGGAGGAACACCAGUGGCGAAGGCGGCUUACUGGACUGUAACUGACGUUGAGGCUCGAAAGCGUGGGGAGCAGACAGGAUUAGAUACCCUGGUA